AGAGUUUGAUCAUGGCUCAGGAUGAACGCUGGCGGCGUGCUUAACACAUGCAAGUCGAACGAAGCAUAUAAGGCGGAAUUCUUCGGGAGGAAGCCAUAUAUGACUUAGUGGCGGACGGGUGAGUAACGCGUGAGUAACCUGCCUUACACAGGGGGACAACAGCUGGAAACGGCUGCUAAUACCGCAUAAGCGCACAGGACCGCAUGGUACGGUGUGAAAAGAUUUAUCGGUGUAAGAUGGACUCGCGUCUGAUUAGUUAGUUGGCGGGGUAACGGCCCACCAAGACAACGAUCAGUAGCCGACUUGAGAGAGUGAUCGGCCACAUUGGGACUGAGACACGGCCCAAACUCCUACGGGAGGCAGCAGUGGGGAAUAUUGCACAAUGGGGGAAACCCUGAUGCAGCGACGCCGCGUGAGCGAAGAAGUAUUUCGGUAUGUAAAGCUCUAUCAGCAAGGAAGAUAAUGACGGUACUUGACUAAGAAGCUCCGGCUAAAUACGUGCCAGCAGCCGCGGUAAUACGUAUGGAGCAAGCGUUAUCCGGAAUUACUGGGUGU
RNAcentral lists this ribosomal RNA (555 nucleotides) under uncultured bacterium. RNAcentral's name for it is "bacterial SSU rRNA". It matches the Rfam family "Bacterial small subunit ribosomal RNA", at positions 8 to 561 of the family's 1533-position model. The record is from RNAcentral.